GACGAGUUAAUGACUUAUCCCCACCACUGAUCUCACUUACCUGGCCAACCUGGUGAAUUAGGUUUUGAUUAGAUCACUUGAUGAUUAGGGCUCACCCAUGUCAUUAGGUAAAUCAGUUUGACUGAUUUAGGUGCUCCUAAUGCCAGCUUUAAUUAAAUCCUUUUUAAUCUGACUUGGUAAAGUCAGUGGGAGGAUUGAAAUUGACUGGAUAUUUUCUUCUCAUAUAUCCUUUAAUAAAAUCCUCAAAAAUUAUUAGGUCCCUAAAAAUGAUUAAGUUAUAUUGAUAACUAAGUCAUAGCCUCCCAUUAAGUGAGUGAUAAUGAGUCCAUUAGUUUAAUAAUCAUUGGAGGCCCAAAGGCCUGGUGCUUAUUGACUAACGGAAUUAUCAUUCAUAAUAUGAUAAUUUGGUUUGGAUCUUUCUGAUGGUGGUCAGGUUGGUCAGCCAAAGUUGGGCCUGAUCAUUUAUUGGUCUGAUUCACCAAAUCAAAUCAUGUUAAUGGUUGGACCUAACCAGAUCUUUUCAGUGGAGGCCAAAGCCUACUGAUUAGGUUCUGGGGCAAAAUCAAUUACUAGAAGUUGUUUAGAGAAACAACUGGUUAUGAACCUACCCAUAGAUGCACAUGAGUUGACCAACCAAAGUUGGGCUCAUGUGUAGUCUGUGUGGAUUCUAGUACCCACUAAGGAAUUAAAGUAAUUCCUCGAAUUGGAAGUUGAGGCUACC
RNAcentral lists this long non-coding RNA (721 nucleotides) under Elaeis guineensis (African oil palm). RNAcentral describes it as "long non-coding RNA (EGUI_LNC035091)". The record is from RNAcentral. Lineage: Eukaryota; Viridiplantae; Streptophyta; Magnoliopsida; Arecales; Arecaceae.